UACGGAGAGGGCAAGCGUUGUUCGGAUUUAUUGGGCGUAAAGCGCGCGUAGGUGGCAUGGUAAGUCGAAUGUUAAAGACCCACGGCUCACCCGGGGGUAUGCGUCCGAUACUGCCGUGCUAGAGUGCGGGAGAGGAAAGUGGAAUUCCUGGUGUAGCGGUGAAAUGCGUAGAUAUCAGGAGGAACACCGGUGGCGAAGGCGGCUUUCUGGCCCGCAACUGACACUGAGGCGCGAAAGCGUGGGGAGCGAA
This 250-nucleotide ribosomal RNA is filed under the name uncultured bacterium. RNAcentral's name for it is "partial 16S ribosomal RNA". It matches the Rfam family "Bacterial small subunit ribosomal RNA", at positions 524 to 772 of the family's 1533-position model. The record is from RNAcentral.